This 381-nucleotide ribosomal RNA is filed under the name uncultured eukaryote. Its description in RNAcentral is "SSU rRNA". It matches the Rfam family "Eukaryotic small subunit ribosomal RNA", at positions 587 to 972 of the family's 1831-position model. The record is from RNAcentral.
AGCUCCAAUAGCGUAUAUUAAAGUUGUUGCGGUUAAAAAGCUCGUAGUUGGAUUUCUGCUGAGGACGACCGGUCCGCCCUCUGGGUGAGCAUCUGGCUCGGCCUUGGCAUCUUCUUGGAGAACGCUACUGCACUUGACUGUGUGGUGCGGUAUCCAAGACUUUUACUUUGAGGAAAUUAGAGUGUUUCAAGCAGGCAUGUGCCUUGUAUACAUUAGCAUGGAAUAAUGAGAUAGGACCUUGGUUCUAUUUUGUUGGUUUCUAGAGCUGAGGUAAUGAUUAAUAGGGAUAGUUGGGGGCAUUCGUAUUUAACUGUCAGAGGUGAAAUUCUUGGAUUUGUUAAGGACGAACUACUGCGAAAGCAUUUGCCAAGGAUGUUUUCA